AAGUCGUAACAAGGUAACCGUAGGUGAACCUGCGGUUGGAUCAUUACUGAUUAUUGUUUCUAUGGAGUGAUACCUUUACGGAGUCCUCCAUAGAGACUAACUACCCCUUGUGCACCAAAAUGUUUUUUGGGUCACGUAAGGUAGGGUAAAGUAAGCGAAAGCAUACAUUAUUCUACUGGUGGCCCAGUUGUAAAGACCAUAUCAAUUGUCUGAAAUCUCUAUAUAAAAUAGAAACAACUUUUGACAACGGAUCUCUUGGCUCUC
RNAcentral lists this unclassified non-coding RNA (264 nucleotides) under fungal sp. RNAcentral describes it as "partial internal transcribed spacer region". The stretch from base 1 to 46 matches the Rfam family "Eukaryotic small subunit ribosomal RNA", at positions 1786 to 1831 of the family's 1831-position model. Lineage: Eukaryota; Fungi. The record is from RNAcentral.